RNAcentral lists this ribosomal RNA (238 nucleotides) under Vibrio parahaemolyticus. RNAcentral's name for it is "partial 16S ribosomal RNA". It matches the Rfam family "Bacterial small subunit ribosomal RNA", at positions 1 to 225 of the family's 1533-position model. Lineage: Bacteria; Pseudomonadati; Pseudomonadota; Gammaproteobacteria; Vibrionales; Vibrionaceae. The record is from RNAcentral.
AAAUUGAAGAGUUUGAUCAUGGCUCAGAUUGAACGCUGGCGGCAGGCCUAACACAUGCAAGUCGAGCGGAAACGAGUUGUCUGAACCUUCGGGGAACGAUAACGGCGUCGAGCGGCGGACGGGUGAGUAAUGCCUAGGAAAUUGCCCUGAUGUGGGGGAUAACCAUUGGAAACGAUGGCUAAUACCGCAUGAUGCCUACGGGCCAAAGAGGGGGACCUUCGGGCCUCUCGCGUCAGGA